CGAGGAAUCAGUUGGUGCGGUCGCGUUAAUCGAGGUUAGAAUUUUUAUCGGAUAUUCUUAAUGUAUUUUAUAUCUUCCUCCCCUCAUCACCCUUCUCAUCUCACCACAAGACGGAGAAAAGACGUGGAAAAGCUUGAAGAAAAAAACCGUGCGACGUCGAGUAAAGAAAAAGGCACGAGGAAAGAGGAGAAGAUGAAAAGGAAUAAGAAACAGUAGAGCAAACUGUGUCGCCUUAGCACAUGCCAGGCAUUUCGAGAUGAGGAAUCGCCAGUAGAAUCCUAAAGCAACGCCUGUAUAUGUCACAGUGGAAAAACCGUUAACCUUAAAAACCUUAAGUGAAAAACCGUUACGUACUGUUAUCACAAAUGGAAUGAAAUUUCGAGCAUCCUCUUACUCGACAAUGAUUACAAAAAACCUGUGCGCCGAUUGAAUAGCAAAAGGACAUAUUUGUACAGCAUACAAUCCCUGAAUUUCUUGUCAGAAACAAUGCUUGAAAAUUGUACAAAAAUAUGAAACAUAUUCUACUGUGAAAUUUUUCAAGAAAAUCAGAAAUCAAAUCCAAAAAAAUUAUACUCGUGGUGAAAACAAUCUAAAUAGUCUUCUGGAUGGUCACAAAAAUGAAAACUUUUUUUUUUCAUAUGUGACUUUAUGAGAAAAAGUUGGUUUACGCCUCUGAACGGAAGCCCAAGAAGAAGUUUCGUGUUUUGGUCGAAUUAGGGCCUUGUCCCUUAGCGCUAACCGUCCACGGCUCAUUAGGCCACGUCGACACGACCAGUUAAGUUCCACCGGGUUGUACAAGAAACUUGUGGUAUGAAAUUACAGUUUUCAUUAGGGUCUGAAGCAACCCUUGCCGGUAAAGAAAAUUCAAAAAUAUAUAUAACGCAUGAAUUUUUUUGAUUUUGAAAUUUAAUAGAGUAUACCGAAUUACGUAUAGUGGUAUACUGUAUUUUAUUUUUCAUUACAAAUACUACUUGGUAUAAAAUUGUUUUUUCAAUCUCAUAGUACUGAAUUUGUAAAAAAAAAGAAACACGAUAUUUCCAAAUAAAAGAGACACGAAACUUAUCUCGAAAUCAGACAUUAUAAAUGGAACUUAUGAAAGUCUGACGCAAGAGACUGGCGAUUUCGUAAAAUAUGUAUGACGAGCUGUCUACUUCUGCACUUAUUUAAUCAUUAAUUUAUUUCAAACGGAUGAAUGAAAACCUAUCACCAUUAAUGUUCGAGUCGUCAAAUCGACCAAUCAUCCUCGUUCAUUUCGCUAUUAAUUUAUAUACUGUACGAAACAAAGUAGCAAAAAAAAGAGAAGGUCUACCAUAAACAGCUUGUUACCUAAUACGGUCCGUAAUCAAGAGAAAACAAAUUUUAAGACCAACGAAAACACAAGGCCAAUUUUUAAUUUUCGUUAGCAUCGUUAAAGCUACAGUAAAUGCAUACAACGAACAAAUUUGAUAGUCGCUUAUACGUUAAAAAAAAUUCAAAGAAAUCACUCAUAACGAACCACCUGUUUUUAACAAGUGCAAAAGGCACGAUGAAGUCUCGACUUAUAAAAUAAAUAAAAAAUAUUCCCGUUACUUUGCACAUAGUAUAUUAUGCCUGCACUUGCCGCUUGUGCCAAUAAUUUGAUUGACCGUUAAUGAAUGCGUGGCGAGUUCUGGUUUUGCAAUAAAAUCAAAGUAAAAAAAAUCAAGGAACUCAUCCAAGGUGAGACGCAAUGGGCAGCUUAUCGCCCGUUGUGACGUUCGUGAAAUCAUAUGUGCAACUUGAAAGGAUGAAGCGCACGGUAGGAGGAGGCUAAAAGGAGCGAAAGGCCGGAAAAAAAGUGAUAAAGAGCAAAUGAAGAUGACGAGAAAAGAGGGUGGAAAGAGGACAAAGCUAAGAGAAGAAGAAGAAGACGGGGUACCAUAAAUGGAAAUGGCCUAAGGCUGUCCCCAAUCUCGAUCUCGGCCAAGAAACCGUGCGUGCACGCACGGUUGACCUAUCGAAGAAUUCUACGGGACUUUAAGUCUUCGAGUGUGUUCACAUAUGUGGGUGACGUUGUUACCUCCAGGCGAGAUAUCGUGGGAAAUCCGUCUUAUCCUUUUAUUUAUUAGGCGCCAUGGCUCUACGGUCCUCGUGUGCGCGGAACGUCCGUCGCGUCAGCCAGAUUGAGAAUGAAAAUGGAUAACCGGUGAGAGAGUUUCGAAUUUCUACGAGCCGAUAAAUAUUAGCGUACUAUACUUUUAUCCUAUACUGUUCUUUGCUAUGGCAACGGCAAUUUAUGGGAAUGCGUAUACUUUUUUGUCGAUAUACAAUCGAGACCCAUUAUGUCACAACGCACGUACAAUACGUGACACGUGCGCACUUUGAUUUCCCUAUGGAGAUAGUGUAAAUUGUAUUUUGGUAGAGAAUAUAAU
Molecule: long non-coding RNA, 2390 nt
Organism: Cephus cinctus (wheat stem sawfly)
Lineage: Eukaryota; Metazoa; Arthropoda; Insecta; Hymenoptera; Cephidae
Exons: 3
Source: RefSeq, a predicted model, not a curated record